This 449-nucleotide ribosomal RNA is filed under the name uncultured bacterium. RNAcentral's name for it is "bacterial SSU rRNA". It matches the Rfam family "Bacterial small subunit ribosomal RNA", at positions 28 to 478 of the family's 1533-position model. The record is from RNAcentral.
GAUGAACGCUGGCGGCGUGCUUAACACAUGCAAGUCGAACGGGAAACCUUUUAUUGAAGCUUCGGCAGAUUUAGCUGGUUUCUAGUGGCGGACGGGUGAGUAACGCGUGGGUAACCUGCCUUGUACAGGGGGAUAACAGUCAGAAAUGACUGCUAAUACCGCAUAAGCGCACAGGACCGCAUGGUCCGGUGUGAAAAACUCCGGUGGUAUAAGAUGGACCCGCGUUGGAUUAGCUAGUUGGCAGGGUAACGGCCUACCAAGGCGACGAUCCAUAGCCGGCCUGAGAGGGUGAACGGCCACAUUGGGACUGAGACACGGCCCAGACUCCUACGGGAGGCAGCAGUGGGGAAUAUUGCACAAUGGGGGAAACCCUGAUGCAGCGACGCCGCGUGAAGGAAGAAGUAUCUCGGUAUGUAAACUUCUAUCAGCAGGGAAGAAAAUGACGGUAC